Molecule: long non-coding RNA, 538 nt
Filed under: Equus caballus (horse)
Lineage: Eukaryota; Metazoa; Chordata; Mammalia; Perissodactyla; Equidae
Description: lncRNA (ENSECAG00000028948.3)
Source: RNAcentral
UCAGAUUUGAAAACAGAAAACGAGGAGAGCUGUGAUGUCAUCCACAUGUCUGAUAUGCAGUUACAUAGAACUCUGAUAUUUGAAAGAAAUCCUUUACUGCAAAGAGCAGUUCCAUGUAACAAGUCCUCAUUUACAAUCUAUAUAUAAAGAGGAGGUGGUGUGUUACAGUGGUUGAGAAGAGUACUUUGGAGUCAGAAGGUCCAGGUUCUAGCUAUUUGGACUUGGGGCCUUGUGGAGAAGGACUUUGUGUUUUUGAGACAGGAUGCAUAUCAUUUGGGCAAAGUCUUCAGUGUAAAAGAUGUUAUCAAGGAGCAGAUUGCUGGCUUAUCAAGAAGAGGAAUGAAUGCUAGGGAAGUGGGAUAUAGAAGAUCAAAGAAGAAUUCUUUCUGAGAUGCCAACAGCACUAUCCCUACCAGUUCUAUAGGCUGUAUUCACUGAGAUGGCCAAACCAAAGAAGGAGAAAUCGUUGCUUCCUAGUGGCACUUAGGAGCAUCCAGCAGCACAUGACAUCUGCCUCUUCGCUUGAGAAGCCUCUAAG